Molecule: ribosomal RNA, 461 nt
Filed under: uncultured bacterium
Lineage: Bacteria
Description: bacterial SSU rRNA
Rfam family: Bacterial small subunit ribosomal RNA
Source: RNAcentral
AUGAACGCUGGCGACGUGGAUAAGGCAUGCAAGUCGAACGAGAAAUUUUGAGAUUACAUCAACUAGAUUUCUAGUGGCGAACGAGGUAGUAACACGUAGGUACGUACCCCAGAGUCGAGAAUAGCCCGCCGAAAGGCGGAUUAAUACUCGAUAGUCUCGUAAGAGUAAAGUCGCAAGACGCUCUGGGAACGGCCUGCGGGAUAUCAGCUAGUUGGUAAGGUAAUGGCUUACCAAGGCUAUGACGUCUAGGGGAGGUGAGAGCCUGGCCCCCACCGAUGGUACUGAGAAACGGACCAUACACCUACGGGUGGCUGCAGUCGAGAAUCUUCCACAAUGGGCGAAAGCCUGAUGGAGCGACGUCGCGUGAUGGAUGAAGUCUUUCGGGAUGUAAACAUCUUUUAUGAAGGAGAAAGGCAGCAAUGCUUGAUAGUACUUCAUGAAUAAGGGGUUGCUAAACUCGU